RNAcentral lists this ribosomal RNA (428 nucleotides) under uncultured bacterium. RNAcentral describes it as "bacterial SSU rRNA". It matches the Rfam family "Bacterial small subunit ribosomal RNA", at positions 355 to 776 of the family's 1533-position model. The record is from RNAcentral.
UGGGGAAUAUUGGACAAUGGGGGGAACCCUGAUCCAGCAAUGCCGCGUGUGUGAAGAAGGCCUGAGGGUUGUAAAGCACUUUCGGUGGGGAGGAGAGCAGAAGGUUAAGAGCUAUCGAACUGGACGAUACCCACAGAAGAAGCACCGGCUAACUCCGUGCCGGCAGCCGCGGUAAUACGGAGGGUGCGAGCGUUAAUCGGAAUUACUGGGCGUAAAGGGUGCGUAGGUGGUUAAAUAAGUUAGGUGUAAAAGCCCUGGGCUCAACCUAGGAUGGAGACUUAAAACUGUUUAACUGGAGUAUGGUAGAGGGUAGUGGAAUUUCCGGUGUAGCGGUGAAAUGCGUAGAGAUCGGAAGGAACACCAGUGGCGAAGGCGGCUACCUGGACUAAUACUGACACUGAAGCACGAAAGCGUGGGGAGCAAACAGG